This 756-nucleotide non-coding RNA is filed under the name Galdieria sulphuraria. Its description in RNAcentral is "Eukaryotic small subunit ribosomal RNA". It matches the Rfam family "Eukaryotic small subunit ribosomal RNA", at positions 1 to 762 of the family's 1831-position model. The record is from Rfam by way of RNAcentral. Lineage: Eukaryota; Rhodophyta; Bangiophyceae; Galdieriales; Galdieriaceae.
UACCCCGUUGAUCCUGCGGGUCGCGUAUGCUUGUCUCAAGGAUUAAGCCAUGCAAAUGCCAGUAUAAGCCACAUGGAUGGCGAGACUGUGAAUGGCUCAUUAAAACAGUUAUAAUCUACACAAUGUUAAUAUGUUAUAUGGAUAACCCUAGUAAUGCUAGAGCUAAUACAUGCCCUAUUUCCAUUUUUGGAAAUUGCACUUAUUAGUGAUCCUACUUUACACUUUUCCUGUCACAGGGUUUAGUGUUGAAUGUUGAAUCAUGAUAAUUUUGUGGAUUGAUAGUAUUUGUACUAUUGACGCAUUGUUUGAAUAUCUGCCCUAUCAACUUUUGACGGUAGGAUUGAGGCCUACCGUGGUGUUGACGGGUAACGGGGAAUUAGGGUUCGAUUCCGGAGAGGGAGCCUGAGAGAUGGCUACCACAUCCAAGGAUGGCAGCAGGCGCGCAAAUUACCCAAUCCUGACACAGGGAGGUAGCGACAAGAAAUACUGAUAGAUAACACUAAGUGUUAUUUUAUUGGCAUGACGUUUAUGUAAACGAGUAACGAAGUAACGAUUGGAGGGCAAGUCUGGUGCCAGCAGCCGCGGUAAUUCCAGCUCCAAUAGCGUACACGAACGUUGUUGCAGUUAAAACGCCCGUAGUCUGAACUGUGAGAUGUUUUUCAUUUUACUCUUUUUUUUGAAAGAGUACGAAUGGACGACACUCAUUUUGAAAUGAAUGUUUGAAUUGAUCUUGAUUGAUUGAUUUUGACAUUGAUU